This 1238-nucleotide ribosomal RNA is filed under the name metagenome. RNAcentral describes it as "bacterial LSU rRNA". It matches the Rfam family "Bacterial large subunit ribosomal RNA", at positions 1564 to 2810 of the family's 2925-position model. The record is from RNAcentral.
UGAAUACGAGAUGCUACGGCAUCGAAGCAGUCUAUGUCAUACUUCCAAGAAAAGCUUGCACUGUCAUAAACAAAUAAUGCCUGUACCAUAACCGACACAGGUGGGUAGGUAGAGUAUACUAAGGGGCGCGAGAUAACUCUCUCUAAGGAACUCGGCAAAAUGACUCCGUAACUUCGGGAGAAGGAGUGCCUUAUUUUAUAAGGUUGCAAUAACAAGAUCCAAGCAACUGUUUACCAAAAACACAGGUCUCCGCUAAGUCGUAAGACGAUGUAUGGGGGCUGACGCCUGCCCAGUGCCAGAAGGUUAAAGAAGUUGGUUAGCAUUAGCGAAGCUGAUAACUGAAGCCCUGGUGAACGGCGGCCGUAACUAUAACGGUCCUAAGGUAGCGAAAUUCCUUGUCGGGUAAGUUCCGACCCGCACGAAAGGCGUAAUGAUUUGGAUACUGUCUCGGAGAGGGGCUCGGUGAAAUAGACUUGUCUGUGAAGAUGCGGACUACCUGCACCAGGACAGAAAGACCCUAUGAAGCUUUACUGUAACUUGAGAUUGAAAUUGGACUUUAUUUGCGCAGUAUAGGUGGGAGACGUUGAAAAUAUUCUUGCGGGAAUAUUGGAGUCAUCAGUGAGAUACCACUCUUAUAAUGUUAGAUUUCUAACUUUGUAUCAUUAUCUGGUCAAAGAACAGUCUCAGGCGGGCAGUUUGACUGGGGCGGUCGCCUCCCAAACGGUAACGGAGGCACACAAAGGUUUCCUCUGAACGUGUAGGAAUCGUAUCUAGAGUGUAAAGGCAUAAGGAAGCUUGACUGUGAGACCUACAAGUCGAGCAGGGACGAAAGUCGGUCUUAGUGAUCUGACGGUGCUGAGUGGAAAGGCCGUCACUCAACGGAUAAAAGUUACUCUAAGGAUAACAGGCUGAUCUCCCCCAAGAGUUCACAUCGACGGGGAGGUUUGGCACCUCGAUGUCGGCUCAUCGCAUCCUGGGGCGGUAGUACGUCCCAAGGGUUGGGCUGUUCGCCCAUGAAAGCGGUACGCGAGCUGGGUUCAGAACGUCGUGAGGCAGUUCGGUCCAUAUCCGGUGUAGGCGUUAGAAUAUUGAGAGGAGCCUUCUUUAGUACGAGAGGACCGAGAAGGACAUACCUCUGGUGUACCAGUUAUCGUGCCAACGGUAAACGCUGGGUAGCUAUGUAUGGAGAGGAUAACCGCUGAAAGCAUCUAAGUGGGAAGCCCACCUCAAGAUAAGUA